RNAcentral lists this long non-coding RNA (976 nucleotides) under Triticum aestivum (bread wheat). RNAcentral's name for it is "long non-coding RNA (TAES_LNC019583)". Lineage: Eukaryota; Viridiplantae; Streptophyta; Magnoliopsida; Poales; Poaceae. The record is from RNAcentral.
GAACAAACACUUGCAAUAUCUUCAGUAAGAGUACAUGUUCAGAACAAACACUUGCAAUAUCUACUGAAAGAAAUUGUUUACUCCUGCAGAUUUUCUUGCAUGUUCAGAAUCUGGAAACAUUCAGAAGCAUGUUCAGAACACUUGCAUGCACAGAAUACUUACUGAAAAAUUACUGAAAAAUACUGUUAAAUGUUGACAAGUUAAAUCUUGUUAAAUACUCCAAGCAAUCUUGUUGGAGUAACUUUGACUAUGUACUGUUGGAGUAGCUUUGACUAUGUACUGUACAGAGCAAGAUGGAGUACUUAACAGAGCAAGAUGGAGUAAUCCAAGAAAAUUAACAGAGCAAGCAAAUGUACUCCAAAUGGUAGUUCACCAGAGAUUUUCAAGUUAAAAAUACUCCCAGGGGUAAACAACAAUGACAUGGACAGAGUAAAGGAUGGAUGUUGUAAAUCAAUCCAGUAAUUAACAGAGCAAGAAAAUUAACAGUAUUUUUCACCCUCCAGACACUGCCUAGAGCACUUACAAGAUGACAAAGUUAGUUUUGCAUAACACAUAUGGAUUCUUAUCUUCUUCAGUAAGGGGGGGCACAUUUACAGCUAAUUAAGCACGAUGAAAUGGACCAACCAAUUAAAUUCAUUCUUCUUCUUCUUCUUCUUCUUCUUCUUCCCAUGAGAAAGAAAUUACAGUAAUUAAGCAGGAGCAAGUUCAUCAUCCAAAACAGUGGAAGGAAGGGGAUGGGUAAGAAACAAAGGAGUCACCUUCAGAUACUCUUGUGCGGCUGCUGCUCCUCUUCAGCAACCUUGGGCCCUUCCCAUUGUCCUCCUCUGCUUCCCCUCCAUUGACAUGGCCAUGUCCAUUCCCAUUCUCACGGGCAUGGACCAGCAGUCUCUUCUUGAUCUCCACCUCCUCCCGCAGCUCCCCUCCAUGAUCCCCACCUCCUCCUUGAACUGGUCCCACACCGCCGGCUGCGGACUCG